UGGCGGCGUGCCUAAUACAUGCAAGUCGAACGGUCUUUCUAUGGAAGCUUGCUUCCACUGAGAAGAUAGUGGCGAACGGGUGAGUAACACGUGGGUAACCUGCCCAUAAGAGGGGGAUAACAUCCGGAAACGGGUGCUAAUACCGCAUAGUUUUCUUGAUCGCAUGAUCGGGAAAGGAAAGACGGCCUUUGUGCUGUCGCUUAUGGAUGGACCCGCGGCGUAUUAGUUAGUUGGUGAGGUAACGGCUCACCAAGACGAUGAUACGUAGCCGACCUGAGAGGGUGAUCGGCCACAUUGGGACUGAGACACGGCCCAAACUCCUACGGGAGGCAGCAGUAGGGAAUCUUCCGCAAUGGACGAAAGUCUGACGGAGCAACGCCGCGUGAGUGAAAGAAGGUUUUCGGAUCGUAAAACUCUGUUGUCAGAGAAGAACAAGUUGGAGAGUAACUGCUCCAGCCUUGACGGUAUCUGACCAGAAAGCCACGGCUAACUACGUGCCAGCCGCGGC
RNAcentral lists this ribosomal RNA (508 nucleotides) under uncultured bacterium. Its description in RNAcentral is "bacterial SSU rRNA". It matches the Rfam family "Bacterial small subunit ribosomal RNA", at positions 37 to 518 of the family's 1533-position model. The record is from RNAcentral.